GAGUUACCUAGCAUCAUGUUCCUAUGACUUCACUGUCAGACUAUGGGAUACAGCUAAUCCAUUGCAUCCUCUCAUACAGACAAUCUCCCAUCAUAAUGAGUUCACUUAUUCUGUUGAUUUCAGUGUUCACCAGAAAGGACUGAUUGCUGAUUGCUCUUGGGACAAAACAAUUAAACUAUACACUCCAUCAUUCGUAACUCCUCCUCCUCCUAUUUCAUGACAUUACAUAAUUUCUGUACAGUGUGAGUGUGUCUAUUUUUAUAUAAUUUUGUGUUAUGUACAUGUAUGUAUGUAUAUUCAUCAUAACCUUUUAUGCUAUCAUGUUCCUGUAUAUUUUAUAUAAGCCACUA
Amphimedon queenslandica is the source of this 350-nucleotide long non-coding RNA. RefSeq lists it as uncharacterized. The transcript has 3 exons. Lineage: Eukaryota; Metazoa; Porifera; Demospongiae; Haplosclerida; Niphatidae. The record is from RefSeq and is a predicted model, not a curated record.